UACGUAGGGUGCGAGCGUUGUCCGGAAUCAUUGGGCGUAAAGCGCGUGUAGGCGGUCCGGUAAGUCCGCUGUGAAAGCCAGGGGCUCAACCCUUGGAUGCCGGUGGAUACUGUCGGGCUUGAGUACGGAAGAGGCGAGUGGAAUUCCUGGUGUAGCGGUGAAAUGCGCAGAUAUCAGGAGGAACACCAAUUGCGAAGGCAGCUCGCUGGGACGUUACUGACGCUGAGACGCGAAAGCGUGGGGAGCAAACAGG
This 253-nucleotide ribosomal RNA is filed under the name uncultured bacterium. RNAcentral describes it as "partial 16S ribosomal RNA". It matches the Rfam family "Bacterial small subunit ribosomal RNA", at positions 524 to 776 of the family's 1533-position model. The record is from RNAcentral.